GUCAAAAUUCCAGAUAUGAUGUCAUUAGGUGAAUUUUUGGCACAAAAAAAACAAAGGAAAACUAAUUCGCAAUUCACCUAAUGACAUCAUAUCCGGAAACUUUGAC
This 106-nucleotide microRNA precursor is filed under the name Paramuricea clavata. Lineage: Eukaryota; Metazoa; Cnidaria; Anthozoa; Malacalcyonacea; Plexauridae. The record is from RNAcentral.